UGGACAUUUAUUUUUAUUCCGUUUCUUCUCAAGGUGAAGACAACUCUUUAUAAAUGUCCUAGAGAAAUAUAGUAGCUUUCUGGUCACCCCUUUGCAAGUAAAAUGGGUGGAUCGUUCCACUACUGACACAC
Molecule: small nucleolar RNA, 131 nt
Filed under: Echinops telfairi (small Madagascar hedgehog)
Lineage: Eukaryota; Metazoa; Chordata; Mammalia; Afrosoricida; Tenrecidae
Description: Small Cajal body specific RNA 24 (ENSETEG00000026721.1)
Rfam family: Small Cajal body specific RNA 24
About the family: scaRNAs are a specific class of small nuclear RNAs which localise to the Cajal bodies and guide the modification of RNA polymerase II transcribed spliceosomal RNAs U1, U2, U4, U5 and U12. ACA12 belongs to the H/ACA box class of guide RNAs as it has the predicted hairpin-hinge-hairpin-tail structure,the conserved H/ACA-box motifs and is found associated with GAR1.
Source: RNAcentral